CCGGAGGAAGGGAGGAGAGCAUCCGGGCACUUAGCAAGGAGACACAAAGCUGCGUUCAGCUAGGUGCCCGGGCGAGUCGUGGGGAGACUGAGAAGGGGCUUGAGGACGGUUCCGGACUCUGGGUGGCUGACGCUAUGUCGGAUGGGCUUCUCCUCUCCUUACACUGGGGCCGUUUAGGGAGGUGCUGGGCUCGGGGUGGGGCUUAGAUGAAAUCUCUUCUUGCUACGCCUCUCCCUGCUCAAGUUCCCACCCUUUUCCUAGAGCAGAAGUUUCAGAUGUAAGGUGACUCGGUUUUUAGGGUCGGGCUUUUGAACCCUUAAGGAGACAGCGGGGCUUUACACGAAGCUGGGGACAGGAAACGGCUCUAGUCUAGCUUCUCUGAUCUCCGAGGGCCUCGGAGAACUUUUAAGCGGCUGCUCGAGCUGCUCUUCUUGGGCCCUUUUUUGGAGCAGAAGUGAGUCCGGUGCUGGGACCCAGGCAUCUCGCUCUGCCCGGCCCGGGGAAGGGUCGUGGCUGGCGAAGAGUCUGUGGCCAGGAGCCCGGGAGGAAAGAAGGUGUCAGGAAAAUACAGUACACUGCUUUCCCAUCGCUUUCAAUUUGGUUCUGUUUGAAGGCUUGUGAUGUGUCUGGCGGAUGGCGAAAGAGCUCGUCACUGUUUUGCGCCUGGUUUUGAAUUAUGUCCUUUGGUUUAAAAAGGGAUAUGUUGUCCCUUUAAGAUAAAGUCGAAAUUUUACCUUGGUGCUAGAGAGUUAACCAAAUAGAAAAAUAGGAAGCCUACAUUCCAAAGUGUUAUUUGAAGGACUUUAGACCCAGUUACAAAGUUAAAAAAAAAAAAUCUUUACACAUCCUUAGUUUGAGGCAAACAAGUAUGCCAGAAUAAAGUCUGGGAGCUUGUUCAGUUCCACAAAUAUUUUUAUGCUCUACUGUGUUCCUAACGCUGGAAUUUGUCCGGUGGUCCCAAUUAUGAAUAAGUUGGAUCCAAUUCUACCGUCAUAGGAAUUUUCAUUCUAGUAAGUCAGCGAAGCAAGCAGUUAUUACACAUUUACAAUUUUUCGUGCGUUCAUCAGAAUAAGAGCAAGCCUUGUGAAAGAACAGGGCACAGAACAGUAUUGGGAUGAAGUCAAAAUGGCAAAAACAAGAAAUGGGAGGCUAGGAAAAUGGGUUGUCUGGGGGUUCACUGGACACUUAGAAGACAGAGGAUAACUGGAAGGAAUCCAAAAAAAAAAGAAAGGAUUUGAAAACAAAUAGACAUCUACCAGAUGAUCAAUGAGGGAUCUCUCAAACCUAUUAUUUCUGAGGUAUGUGGAUUAUUAUCCCACAUUAUUAUGUGAACAGAUUAUUAUCCAGACAUAUGACUUUAUCUUUCUCAGCUUUAAUAUUUUCAAAUUCAAAAAUAUUCUUAUUUAUACAGAACCUUUCUCUCCAGUUUUAUGUCCAAAUAAAAGCAUUUUUAAAAGUUACAUAUAAACAGCCAUGGUGAAAAAAAUGCUUGAGUCCAUGGGACCACAAGUUGAAAUUUUGGCUUUAUCUGUUGCCAGGCCUGUGACUUUUGGCAAAGUCAGCCUACUCGAGCCUCAAUAUAAAAUGGAGUUUUUGUUAGAUGAGAAAAUGCCUAGCAUACCCAACAGUUGAUCAAUAAAUACUGGUAGACUUUGGAUGCAUAUUUCUCCCCAGGUUUUAUUACUUUUCAAAAUAUUCCUAAAAUUAUUAACGCUCUAUGCUAUCUGGAAGUAUUUGGGGAACUUAGUUGAUCUGUGUUGUACUAAAAUCCUGUUUCAUCACAUCCUGAUAGUGGAUUGCUGAAAGGAUUCAACUUGUACCCUUAUGAGACUUACCCUUCUUUAAGUUGUGGUUGUGAGGUAUUAUGUCUCAGUGAUGACAGAGUGACUACAACAUAGUACAAAAUCAACCUUCUGCUCCAGAAAGCUCUGUGGUGAGGAAGCCAGGCUGUGCUUGCUGCUUCUUUCAGUCGCCUGCUAGCUUGCUGUCAAAGCUGGAAAGCUGGAGAUGGCAAAGUCCUGAAACACACACAGCAGGGGAACUAGUCCAGUCUGAAUGUAUCAUCUGCCACACAUCCAAACUGUAUGAUUGUGUAGUCAGGGUCAUUUUUAUGGAGUAUCUGAAAGUUCUUCACAGAUGCCAGAGUGACCAGCCAUGAAGGUUCAGGGCACAAAAGUGGGUGUCUUCGUUCUAGACCAGGGCCUUGUGCAGUUCUCCAUGGUUUUGUUUUGCCAUUUGGAAAGCAAGCAAGCUCUCGUGGUCAUUUUGUGGCUGAAAUGGUACCCAUUCAUGAUUUCUGUUCUUCCCUGGAAUAUUCACAGACUUUCUCUAAGGACCUUUAAUUUCAAAUACAUCUGUUGUAACAGAUGGCAGUCGGGCCCUAUGGUGUAUGGGCCUUCUCCAGCAGAUCCUGGGCCUUGAAUAGGCUGGCACCAUGGUACUGUGAACUUGGUCCCCAUGAGGUGGGAUUUUGAGUUUGCCCAUGUAACUUUCCCCUUCUGGCGACAGUCUCAAUACACUGCGUCAGUGGAUAUCAACUAAUUGGAUGUUUAGAUCUUUUUUUCUGUUUUCUUACUGUGAAAAGAAAUACCUUUUGGGGCUAGGGAUGUAGCUCAGUGGUGCAGCGCCUGCCUGGCAAGCGCGAGGCCCUGGGUUCGAUUCUUGCUAGCAAAUACAAAAACUUGAUUCUCAUGUAAGUCCAUAAAGUAUGUGGGGAAGAGACCUUGCUCCAUUCCUUUUUUGUUCCUGGUUAUCUGACACUAUUGUGAUACCUUGGGGAGGCAGGACUAUAUGCAGAGUCCUCUGAAGUUCUCCACUUCUCCCACCUGGUUCUGUGUCUCCGUCUCUGUCUCUGUCUCUGACUCUGUCUGUCUGUCUCUCCUUCUGCCCCCUCUCCCUCUCUGUUUCCCCCAGCUGGUUUUCAACCUGCUGGGCUGCAGUGCCAGAAGCUCCUGUACCUGUGGUUGAUUUCUAGCUGGAUGCAGAACUGUUUCUGAAUAUGGUGAUUGAGAACUUAAUUUUUUUCCUUCUUCCUCAUCAUUAAUCUCUUCAUCAAAGUUCAAACGACCUGAGGUGUCAUGUUUUUAGAGAAUUUCUUGAAGGUCUGGCUUAUAAGCAGAAUCCAAAGUGCCUUCUCCAUCAAUGUUACACUCAGUAUCAUCCUUUGUAGAAGAAGGGCCUACUGCGAGAGCAAGAAGUUUGAUUUCUAGGUCACAAGCACUUUGCUUUAGGAAGGCAGCUGGACCACCAAUGCCAUCAAGAAUGAUGUCCUUGCAAGGAGUCUGAGGUUCACCAAAGCAUAAGGGACAGAACCAUUCUGAGCCACCCAGAAGCUGCCUCUCAUGCCUCAUCCCAUCAAGCACAUCCUGCCUUUCUUCAUGGACCCGACAUCAGGUGAAAGAACAGAAACUGAAGGGAUUAUGGCCAUUUGCCUAAAAUAAACCACAACCCCUGCCUCAGUUUCCUAAGGCAGAGAACAGCACAAGGGGAAGGGGUAGGCAGUGUGACUGCCUUUGAGAGCUAAACAUCAGGAAGCAUCCGUGUCUCACAGGCAUGGUAAAUGC
Molecule: long non-coding RNA, 3563 nt
Filed under: Heterocephalus glaber (naked mole-rat)
Lineage: Eukaryota; Metazoa; Chordata; Mammalia; Rodentia; Bathyergidae
Description: lncRNA (ENSHGLG00100045551.1)
Source: RNAcentral